This 727-nucleotide ribosomal RNA is filed under the name Streptomyces sp. RNAcentral describes it as "bacterial SSU rRNA". It matches the Rfam family "Bacterial small subunit ribosomal RNA", at positions 137 to 876 of the family's 1533-position model. Lineage: Bacteria; Bacillati; Actinomycetota; Actinomycetes; Kitasatosporales; Streptomycetaceae. The record is from RNAcentral.
UCUGGGACAAGCCCUGGAAACGGGGUCUAAUACCGGAUAACACUCUGUCCCGCAUGGGACGGGGUUAAAAGCUCCGGCGGUGAAGGAUGAGCCCGCGGCCUAUCAGCUUGUUGGUGGGGUAAUGGCCUACCAAGGCGACGACGGGUAGCCGGCCUGAGAGGGCGACCGGCCACACUGGGACUGAGACACGGCCCAGACUCCUACGGGAGGCAGCAGUGGGGAAUAUUGCACAAUGGGCGAAAGCCUGAUGCAGCGACGCCGCGUGAGGGAUGACGGCCUUCGGGUUGUAAACCUCUUUCAGCAGGGAAGAAGCGAAAGUGACGGUACCUGCAGAAGAAGCGCCGGCUAACUACGUGCCAGCAGCCGCGGUAAUACGUAGGGCGCAAGCGUUGUCCGGAAUUAUUGGGCGUAAAGAGCUCGUAGGCGGCUUGUCACGUCGGAUGUGAAAGCCCGGGGCUUAACCCCGGGUCUGCAUUCGAUACGGGCUAGCUAGAGUGUGGUAGGGGAGAUCGGAAUUCCUGGUGUAGCGGGUGAAAUGCGCAGAUAUUCAGGAGGAACACCGGUGGCGAAGGCGGAUCUCUGGGCCAUUACUGACGCUGAGGAGCGAAAGCGUGGGGAGCGAACAGGAUUAGAUACCCUGGUAGUCCACGCCGUAACGUUGGGAACUAGGUGUUGGCGACAUUCCACGUCGUCGUGCCGCAGCUAACGCAUUAAGUUCCCCGCCUGG